Molecule: ribosomal RNA, 397 nt
Filed under: uncultured bacterium
Lineage: Bacteria
Description: partial 16S ribosomal RNA
Rfam family: Bacterial small subunit ribosomal RNA
Source: RNAcentral
AUACGUAGGUGGCAAGCGUUGUCCGGAAUUAUUGGGCGUAAAGUGCGCGCAGGCGGUCCUUUAAGUCUGAUGUGAAAGCCCACGGCUCAACCGUGGAGGGUCAUUGGAAACUGGGGGACUUGAGUGCAGAAGAGGAAAGUGGAAUUCCAAGUGUAGCGGUGAAAUGCGUAGAGAUUUGGAGGAACACCAGUGGCGAAGGCGACUUUCUGGUCUGUAACUGACGCUGAGGCGCGAAAGCGUGGGGAGCAAACAGGAUUAGAUACCCUGGUAGUCCACGCCGUAAACGAUGAGUGCUAAGUGUUGGGGGGUUUCCGCCCCUCAGUGCUGCAGCUAACGCAUUAAGCACUCCGCCUGGGGAGUACGGUCGCAAGACUGAAACUCAAAGGAAUUGACGGGG